RNAcentral lists this ribosomal RNA (400 nucleotides) under uncultured bacterium. Its description in RNAcentral is "bacterial SSU rRNA". It matches the Rfam family "Bacterial small subunit ribosomal RNA", at positions 359 to 776 of the family's 1533-position model. The record is from RNAcentral.
GAAUAUUGGACAAUGGAGGCAACUCUGAUCCAGCCAUGCCGCGUGAGUGAAGAAGGCCUUCGGGUUGUAAAACUCUUUCAGUGGUGAAGAUGAUGACGGUAACCACAGAAGAAGCUCCGGCUAACUUCGUGCCAGCAGCCGCGGUAAUACGAAGGGGGCGAGCGUUGUUCGGAAUCACUGGGCUUAAAGCGUACGUAGGCGGCUAUUCAAGUCAGAAGUGAAAUCCCGGGGCUUAACCCCGGAACUGCUUUUGAAACUAGAUAGCUAGAGUCCCGGAGAGGUUAGGGGAAUUCCGAGUGUAGAGGUGAAAUCCGCAGAUAUUCGGAGGAACACCAGUGGCGUAGGCGCCUAACUGGACGGGAACUGACGCUGAGGUACGAAAGCGUGGGGAGCAAACAGG